Molecule: ribosomal RNA, 496 nt
Filed under: Pectinopygus sulae
Lineage: Eukaryota; Metazoa; Arthropoda; Insecta; Psocodea; Philopteridae
Description: partial 16S ribosomal RNA
Rfam family: Bacterial large subunit ribosomal RNA
Source: RNAcentral
CAAAAACAUGUCCUGGGGGGUGAAAAUCCUAGGUCAGACCUGCUCUAUGUUGGUCAAUAAAUGGUCGCAGAUUUGUGCUAAGGUAGCAUAAUCAAUUGCCCUGUAAUUUAGGGAUGGUAUGAAUGGUUCGACGAAGGUCAGACUGUCUCUUUUGUGGUUACCCAAAAUUUAGCUUUUGGUAAAAACGCCUGAGUGAAAAGGAGGGACGAUAAGACCCUAAGAUCUUGGUUCCAACAUCUUCAAUUGGGAAAGUUGGGGUUUACUUGGGAUGAGGAGUGUACAGAAACUACCUUUACAUAAAGGAGUAACAAUUCGAAUUUGUGAAACUUCAUUGGUGACGUAGGUCAAAGUUACCUUAGGGAUAACAGGGAUAUUCUAUCUAGGGAGGACGUAUUUCUAGAAAGGGUUUCCACCUCGAUGUUGAAUUAAAGUACCACUUUGGUGGAGAUGCUAAGGUAGUUGGAUUGUUCAUCCAUUUAAACUUUACGUGAUCUGA